RNAcentral lists this ribosomal RNA (497 nucleotides) under uncultured bacterium. RNAcentral's name for it is "partial 16S ribosomal RNA". It matches the Rfam family "Bacterial small subunit ribosomal RNA", at positions 28 to 507 of the family's 1533-position model. The record is from RNAcentral.
GAUGAACGCUGGCGGUGUGCCUAACACAUGCAAGUCGAGCGAACGCAUGAGAUUCGCUUGCUACUGCUGAUAGCGGCGGACGGACGGGUAAGUCAUGGAUAACCUACUUACAUGACUGGGAUAACUACCGGAAACCGAAGCUGACAAAUGCUACUAUCAUUAACUGCAUGGUUCAAAAGUGAAAGGCGAUGUUGUUCUCUGUUAUAUAUGCAUCCGUGCUGCUUUAGAUAGUUGGUAGGGUAACGUCUCACCAAGGCAACGAUGCAUAGCCGAUCGGAGCGGAUGAGCGGCCACACUGGACCUGAGACGCGGUCCAGACUCCUACGGGAGGCAGCAGAGGGGAAUCUUCCACAAUGGGCUGAAGCCUGACGGGACAAAGCCGCGUGAGUUAAGAGAGUAUUCGGAUAGUAAAACUCUGUUAUUAGGGAAGAACAUAUGUGUAAGUAACUGUGCACAUCUUGACGGUACCGAAUCAGAAAGCCACGGCUAACUACGUG